Cricetulus griseus (Chinese hamster) is the source of this 129-nucleotide small nucleolar RNA. The record is from Ensembl. Lineage: Eukaryota; Metazoa; Chordata; Mammalia; Rodentia; Cricetidae.
AAGUCAUUUCACUAAAGGUUUGUUAUUCUAUGAAACCAAGAGUUCUUAAGUCUACGACCGAAAUUUGAAGGUGUCUAUAAAAGGGCUAGUCACUCAGUGGAACUAUGCUUUUUCUGAGGACAUUUCAGA